CGGCGUGGAUAAGGCAUGCAAGUCGAACGACUACCAGAGGGUAGCAAUAUUCUCUGGUGGGAGUGGCGCAAGGGUGCGUAACACGUGGGUAAUUUGCCGCGAAGUUGGGGAUAACUCGCUGAAAGGCGAGCUAAUACCGGAUGUGAUCAUUAGGUGGCAUCAUUGGAUGAUCAAAGUUGGGGACCGCAAGGCCUGACGCUUCGCGAUAAGCCCGCGGCCUAUCAGCUAGUUGGUGAGGUAACGGCUCACCAAGGCUAAGACGGGUAGCUGGUCUGAGAGGACGACCAGCCACACUGGAACUGAGAGACGGUCCAGACACCUACGGGUGGCAGCAGUCGAGAAUUUUUCACAAUGGGCGCAAGCCUGAUGGAGCGACGCCGCGUGGGGGAUGAAGGGCUUCGGCUCGUAAACCCCUGUCAUUUGCGAACAAACCUCAUUCAUGAACAGUGAAUGUGUUGAUAGUAGCGAAAGAGGAAGGGACGGCUAACUCUGUGCCAGCAGCCGCGGUAAUACAGAGGUCCCGAGCGUUGUCCGGAUUCACUGGGCGUAAAGGGUGCGUAGGUGGUGGGGUAAGUCUGAUGUGAAAUCUCCAGGCUCAACCUGGAAAUGGCAUUGGAAACUACCCUGCUGGAGGGUUGGAGGGGGGACUGGAAUACUUGGUGUAGCA
RNAcentral lists this ribosomal RNA (667 nucleotides) under uncultured soil bacterium. RNAcentral's name for it is "bacterial SSU rRNA". It matches the Rfam family "Bacterial small subunit ribosomal RNA", at positions 40 to 680 of the family's 1533-position model. The record is from RNAcentral.